UUAAUCCACUUUUUUGUAUAU
Molecule: non-coding RNA, 21 nt
Filed under: Caenorhabditis elegans
Lineage: Eukaryota; Metazoa; Nematoda; Chromadorea; Rhabditida; Rhabditidae
Source: RNAcentral